CAAGCUGUUUGUGUGACGUG
This 20-nucleotide unclassified non-coding RNA is filed under the name Chlamydomonas reinhardtii. RNAcentral's name for it is "small RNA Cre_0851". Lineage: Eukaryota; Viridiplantae; Chlorophyta; Chlorophyceae; Chlamydomonadales; Chlamydomonadaceae. The record is from RNAcentral.